GACGAACGCUGGUGGCGUGCCUAAUACAUGCAAGUCGAACGAAGUGGCGAACGGGUGAGUAACGCGUAAUCAACCUGCCCUUCAGAGGGGGACAACAGUCGGAAACGACUGCUAAUACCGCACACUGAAGGAGGGGCGUGCGUCUGAUUAGCUAUUUGGAGGGGCAACGGCCCACCAAGGCGAUGAGCAGUAACCGGUCUGAGGAGAUGAACGGCCACAUUGGAGCUGGGACACGGCCCAGACUCCUACGGGAGCGAGCAGUGGGGAAUCUACCGCCAUGGGCGAGAGUCUGGCGGUGCAACGCCGCGUGAAUGAUGACGGCCUUCGGGUUGUAAAACUCUGUUAAUCGAGACGCGGUACCGGAAUAGAAAGCAACGGCUGACUACGUACCAGCAGCCGCGGUAAUAC
Molecule: ribosomal RNA, 408 nt
Filed under: uncultured bacterium
Lineage: Bacteria
Description: partial 16S ribosomal RNA
Rfam family: Bacterial small subunit ribosomal RNA
Source: RNAcentral